GGUUGACCUCGAAUCAGGUAGGAAUACCCGCUGAACUUAAGCAUAUCAA
Molecule: ribosomal RNA, 49 nt
Filed under: Daldinia eschscholtzii
Lineage: Eukaryota; Fungi; Ascomycota; Sordariomycetes; Xylariales; Hypoxylaceae
Also listed under: 1 other name
Description: partial 28S ribosomal RNA
Source: RNAcentral